This 440-nucleotide ribosomal RNA is filed under the name uncultured bacterium. RNAcentral's name for it is "partial 16S ribosomal RNA". It matches the Rfam family "Bacterial small subunit ribosomal RNA", at positions 338 to 795 of the family's 1533-position model. The record is from RNAcentral.
CCUACGGGAGGCAGCAGUGGGGAAUAUUGCACAAUGGGGGGAACCCUGAUGCAGCGACGCCGCGUGGGUGAAGGAGUAUUUCGGUAUGUAAAGCCUAUCGGCAGGGAAGAAGCACGACGGUACCUGACUAAGAAGCCCCGGCUAACUACGUGCCAGCAGCCGCGGUAAUACGGAGGGGGCGAGCGUUAUCCGGAUGCACUGGGUGUAAAGGGAGCGUAGACGGCCAUGCAAGCCAGGGGGGAAAGCCCGGGGCCCAACCCCGGGACUGCCCUUGGAACUGCAUGGCUGGAGUGCGGGAGAGGCAGGCAGAAUUCCUGGUGUAGCGGUGAAAUGCGUAGAUAUCAGGAGGAACACCGGCGGCGAAGGCGGCCUGCUGGACCGCGACUGACGUUGAGGCUCGAAAGCGUGGGGAGCGAACAGGAUUAGAUACCCUAGUAGUC